This 464-nucleotide ribosomal RNA is filed under the name Mycobacteriaceae bacterium 'ARUP UnID 417'. RNAcentral describes it as "bacterial SSU rRNA". It matches the Rfam family "Bacterial small subunit ribosomal RNA", at positions 27 to 506 of the family's 1533-position model. The record is from RNAcentral. Lineage: Bacteria; Bacillati; Actinomycetota; Actinomycetes; Mycobacteriales; Mycobacteriaceae.
GGACGAACGCUGGCGGCGUGCUUAACACAUGCAAGUCGAACGGAAAGGCCCUUCGGGGUACUCGAGUGGCGAACGGGUGAGUAACACGUGGGUGAUCUGCCCUGCACUUUGGGAUAAGCCUGGGAAACUGGGUCUAAUACCGAAUAUACCUCGCUGGUUGCAUGACCUGGUGGGGGAAAGCUUUUGCGGUGUGGGAUGGGCCCGCGGCCUAUCAGCUUGUUGGUGGGGUGAUGGCCUACCAAGGCGACGACGGGUAGCCGGCCUGAGAGGGUGACCGGCCACACUGGGACUGAGAUACGGCCCAGACUCCUACGGGAGGCAGCAGUGGGGAAUAUUGCACAAUGGGCGCAAGCCUGAUGCAGCGACGCCGCGUGGGGGAUGACGGCCUUCGGGUUGUAAACCUCUUUCAGUAGGGACGAAGCGCAAGUGACGGUACCUACAGAAGAAGGACCGGCCAACUACGU